AAUUCAUGGUUUGGAUGGGGGUGCAACGAAUUAGGUAACUAUGCUUAAUAGUGCCGAGAUUUUAGAGGGGUCCAUUUGUACACCUAAGGUUGAAAUAACAUGGCCCAAAUAAUCGAUGGAGGUCCGGCCCAAGGAGCAUUUCUUCUCAUUUGCUUGGUUUUGCUGUAAAAGCUCCAAAGUUUGCCAGUGAAGCAAAUGGUCA
RNAcentral lists this unclassified non-coding RNA (202 nucleotides) under Hevea brasiliensis (rubber tree). Lineage: Eukaryota; Viridiplantae; Streptophyta; Magnoliopsida; Malpighiales; Euphorbiaceae. The record is from RNAcentral.